UGGCGGAGCCAUCCUUGGGAUACCACCCUUGUAGUACUGGGACUCUAACCAUAGGCCAUGAAUCUGGUCUUGGGACACUGUCAGGUGGGCAGUUUGACUGGGGCGGUCGCCUCCCAAAAGGUAACGGAGGCGCUCAAAGGUUCUCUCAGUACGGUCGGAAAUCGUACGUAGAGUGUAAAGGCAAAAGAGAGCUUGAUUGCAAGACAUACAGGUCGAGCAAGGAUGAAAAUCGGACUUAGUGAUCCGGUGGUUCUGCGUGGAAGGGCCAUCGCUCAACGGAUA
Molecule: ribosomal RNA, 282 nt
Filed under: Clostridioides difficile
Lineage: Bacteria; Bacillati; Bacillota; Clostridia; Peptostreptococcales; Peptostreptococcaceae
Description: partial 23S ribosomal RNA
Rfam family: Bacterial large subunit ribosomal RNA
Source: RNAcentral